GACGAACGCUGGCGGCGUGCUUAACACAUGCAAGUCGAGCGGAAAGGCCCUUCGGGGUACUCGAGCGGCGAACGGGUGAGUAACACGUGAGUAACCUGCCCCAGACUUUGGGAUAACCCUCGGAAACGGGGGCUAAUACCGGAUACGACACAGCUUCGCAUGGGGUCUGUGUGGAAAGUUUUUCGGUUUGGGAUGGGCUCGCGGCCUAUCAGCUUGUUGGUGGGGUGAUGGCCUACCAAGGCGACGACGGGUAGCCGGCCUGAGAGGGCAACCGGCCACACUGGGACUGAGACACGGCCCAGACUCCUACGGGAGGCAGCAGUGGGGAAUAUUGCACAAUGGGCGGAAGCCUGAUGCAGCGACGCCGCGUGAGGGAUGACGGCCUUCGGGUUGUAAACCUCUUUCAGCAGGGACGAAGCGUAAGUGACGGUACCUGCAGAAGAAGCGCCGGCCAACUACGUG
RNAcentral lists this ribosomal RNA (462 nucleotides) under uncultured bacterium. Its description in RNAcentral is "partial 16S ribosomal RNA". It matches the Rfam family "Bacterial small subunit ribosomal RNA", at positions 28 to 507 of the family's 1533-position model. The record is from RNAcentral.